Molecule: ribosomal RNA, 168 nt
Filed under: Carcinomyces effibulatus
Lineage: Eukaryota; Fungi; Basidiomycota; Tremellomycetes; Tremellales; Carcinomycetaceae
Description: partial large subunit ribosomal RNA
Rfam family: Eukaryotic large subunit ribosomal RNA
Source: RNAcentral
CGGGAAGAGCUCAAAUUUAAAAUCUGGCGUCCUCCGGGCGUCCGAGUUGUAAUCUAUAGAAGUGUUUUCCGUGGUGGACCGUGUCCAAGUUCCUUGGAAAAGGAUAUCAGAGAGGGUGACAAUCCCGUCCUUGACACGACAACCAUUGCUCUGUGAUACACUUUCUAC